CCGGUUGAUCCUGCCGGACCCCACUGCUAUCGAGGUGGGACUUAGCCAUGCUAGUCGAACGAACAGAACAAUGUCUGUAAGUGGCACACUGCUCAGUAACACGUAGCUAACCUACCCUUAGGACGUCGAUAACCCCGAGAAAUUGGGGCUAAUAGGCGAUAGGUGUGAUGUCCUGGAAUGGUAUCACGCCCAAAGGUAUCCCAUACAUGUUUGGUAUACGCCUAAGGAUGGGGCUGCGGCCGAUCAGGCAGUUGGUGAGGUAAUGGCUCACCAAACCUUUGACCGGUACGGGCCAUGAGAGUGGUAGCCCGGAGAUGGACACUGAGACAAGGGUCCAGGCCCUACGGGGCGCAGCAGGCGCGAAACCUCCUCAAUGCACUAACGUGCGAAGGGGUUACCUCGAGUGCUAUCUGAAGAAGGUGGCCUUUCCUAGGUCUAAAAAGCCUUGGGAAUAAGAGGGGGGCAAGACUGGUGUCAGCCGCCGCGGUAACACCAGCCCCUCGAGUGGUGGGGAUGAUUAUUUGGCCUAAAGCGUCCGUAGCCUGCCGUAUAAGUCUCCCGUUAAAUCCAGCGUCUCAAGCGUUGGACUGCGGGAGAUACUGUACGGCUAGAGAGUGGGAGAGGUCAGCGGUAUUCUGGGGGUAGGGGCGAAAUCCUUUGAUCCCCGGAGGACCACCAGUGGCGAAGGCUGCUGACUAGAACACGUCUGACGGUCAGGGACGAAAGCUGGGGUAGCGAACCGGAUUAGAUACCCGGGUAGUCCCAGCCGUAAACGAUGCAUGCUAGGUGUUGGGUUGGCCACGAGCCACCCCAGUGCCGCAGGGAAGCCGUUAAGCAUGCCGCCUGGGAAGUACGAUCGCAAGAUUGAAACUUAAAGGAAUUGGCGGGGGAGCACCACCAGGCGUGAAGCCUGCGGUUUAAUUGGAUUCAACGCCGGGAA
This 940-nucleotide ribosomal RNA is filed under the name uncultured archaeon. Its description in RNAcentral is "bacterial SSU rRNA". It matches the Rfam family "Archaeal small subunit ribosomal RNA", at positions 4 to 924 of the family's 1478-position model. The record is from RNAcentral.